CGCGGCCUAUCAGCUUGUUGGUGAGGUAACGGCUCACCAAGGCGACGACGGGUAGCCGGCCUGAGAGGGCGACCGGCCACACUGGGACUGAGACACGGCCCAGACUCCUACGGGAGGCAGCAGUGGGGAAUAUUGCACAAUGGGCGAAAGCCUGAUGCAGCGACGCCGCGUGAGGGAUGACGGCCUUCGGGUUGUAAACCUCUUUCAGCAGGGAAGAAGCGAAAGUGACGGUACCUGCAGAAGAAGCGCCGGCUAACUACGUGCCAGCAGCCGCGGUAAUACAUAGGGUGCAAGCGUUGUCCGGAAUUAUUGGGCGUAAAGAGCUCGUAGGUGGUUCGAUACGUCGGAUGUGAAAAUCAGGGGCUCAACCCCUGACCUGCAUUCGAUACGGUCGAGCUAGAGUUUGGUAGGGGAGACUGGAAUUCCUGGUGUAGCGGUGGAAUGCGCAGAUAUCAGGAGGAACACCGAUGGCGAAGGCAGGUCUCUGGGCCAAUACUGACACUGAGGAGCGAAAGCGUGGGGAGCGAACAGGAUUAGAUACCCUGGUAGUCCACGCCGUAAACGGUGGGCGCUAGUUGUGCGAACCUUCCACGGUUUGUGCGACGCAGCUAACGCAUUAAGCGCCCCGCCUGGGGAGUACGG
RNAcentral lists this ribosomal RNA (642 nucleotides) under uncultured Actinomycetes bacterium. RNAcentral describes it as "bacterial SSU rRNA". It matches the Rfam family "Bacterial small subunit ribosomal RNA", at positions 232 to 885 of the family's 1533-position model. Lineage: Bacteria; Bacillati; Actinomycetota; Actinomycetes. The record is from RNAcentral.